GCGUGCCCUAGUCGACGCGCCCCCUCGGCCGGCUGCGGCUACAAUGUUACUCUUACUACUGUACUUCUCGCUCCAAAAUUCCACUCCCCGCACCCACAAUGCUCCGCGCCUUAAAGGGGCCGCGGACGCGGACAAGCGGGGGUUGGGUGGGGGUGGGUGGAGCGUGCUUAAACUGGCAACGCAGAACGCUCGACUUCCGCAAUUUCCCUCCUUCUUAACGUUCUUGCCUAGAGGGGUUGGUAAGGGGUGACACCCCCAACUCAGCCCUGGGAAGGUAGGCAGCCAAGGCUCCACCCCUUGCUGCCCCUCAAGGCCCGCCCGGCUGCCAGCUAAGCAGGACCAUCCCAGCUACGGAACGGGUGAGAGGCGAGGGAACCCUCCCGGUGCCGGCUCUCGGGAGCCACCUCCCCCCGCCACCGGCUCGGUGGAUCACCUAUGUCCUUCCCAGGCUUCUGCCUCCGACCCGCAGGCCCCGCCCAGAAUGACGUCACCACCGUGGCCCUGCCUCUUAGGACGCCUGCUGGCCUGGGUGAGGUGUCUCUAUCCAAGGAAGUCAUCAGUUCCAGUUUGACAAAAGAGUAAACUGAGGCCUGGGGCAGGAAAUGAAUCCGGCCCAGGACCCUGUUGCUUGAGCCCCCAAACCCCCUAAAAUCAAGGUGUGAGUGUAAAUUGCGAUUCUUCAGGCCGGCUGACCAGGUGAAUCACCCGUCCCAUCUUUUGUCCAAGCACAGCCACCACCACUUUAUGGGGGGCACCUCAUGUUCUAGGCCACUUAUUAACAUUAACUGUACUCUAAAGAAGAGAGGAACUGGAGCCCGGCUUGGUGGCGCUGUAGUUCCAGCACUUGAGAGGCUGAGGCAGGAGGAUCACUGAGAGUUUGAGGCCACCCUGCGCUAC
Fukomys damarensis (Damara mole-rat) is the source of this 897-nucleotide long non-coding RNA. RefSeq lists it as uncharacterized. NCBI's taxonomy places the organism in Eukaryota, Metazoa, Chordata, Mammalia, Rodentia, Bathyergidae. The record is from RefSeq and is a predicted model, not a curated record. The transcript is spliced from 3 exons.